AAUUGUCUCUUUGAAUUAAAUGUUAGCAGUAUCUGUAGGUUAAAAUGUAAAAAUUUAUUUUAUCUAAAAAUUAUAGCUAAUUUAAAUAUAAUAAAAAUGAAUGUAUAAAAAAAUAAAAAGAAUAGUAGUAUAGUAUACAGUAGUAUACUGUAAACCUGGGUUUUUUACGGUAGCACACUGUAUUACAUAUUUACAGUAGCAUUUAAAUACUGUAAAAUGGAAAUACAGUUUAGAACUGUAAAUCUUAUUUACAGUAGCCUACUGGCAACAGUGUUGCCAGUAGGUUACUGUAAAAAUCCUUGAAAAUGUCUAACAGUGUGACUUUACUGCGGUCUUUUUUGGUUUAUUUAGUUUUGUGUUAAUUAUAUCCACAAAGUAUUCGAAUAAAUUGGUAAUGUAAAACUAUUCUCCGCUGUAAAUUAAUUGUGUGCUCAAUUUCCCGCGGAAACAUGAACCAAUUGCUGACUGAAUUGUUUGACAAAGAGUUUGUUUGCCCACCGAAACUUAAAUCAUUACUGAGGGGAAAUAUAACAUUAUUCAUUUAAUUCCACAAAAGGUGAGGAAGAUAUUAAAUGUAUACGUUAUCUUUUUAAAAUGUUUAAGCUUUCUACAUAAUGUAAAUUGAACAUUUAUUAUUAUUAUUAUUAAUUUAGCGACCUAUUAUCUAAAUUGUGUGUUCAUGAAGGCCUGUACUGCAGUUUCCUGCAGGCAACGUGAAACAUUGCUGAGGGAGAACUUUAUUCACAACAAAAGGAUAAUGAUGAAGAGGCGGGACUUGAGCAGCUUGUGAUGGCUGUAAUUGUAAAGAAUGGAUCUUCUAGGAGUGGAAGCCCAAAGGAUGCUGGAAUUGUUAUCGAGGCCUUAAAGGUGUUCCCAGGGCAGGCUUUAUCCUCAUUGGAUUGGAUUGGAUCUAUGCAUUGAAUCUCCAGUAUCCCAGGCAUCUUUUCAGGUGUUUCAGAAACUUUUCUUGGAGCUGGAUUCUUCAAAGUUUAUGAACUGAUUACAGUACAGUAAGUCUAAACUGCUGUCUGAUGUUCUGGGUGUGAAUCAAUGUAACAGAACACAAACAUGGAACCUUUCGUCAGGAAAUGUGGACGGUUUUCUUUAAAGACUGUAAAAUACUUUUUGAAGUUUACACUGUUACAAAUACACCAUUAAAAAUGA
Non-coding RNA from Misgurnus anguillicaudatus (oriental weatherfish), 1164 nucleotides. The record is from RefSeq and is a predicted model, not a curated record. Lineage: Eukaryota; Metazoa; Chordata; Actinopteri; Cypriniformes; Cobitidae.